GCCCAGCUGGCUCAGUCAGAAGAGCAUCUGACUCUUGAUCUCAAGAUUGUGAUUUUGAGCCCCAUGUUGGGUG
RNAcentral lists this transfer RNA (73 nucleotides) under Ursus americanus (American black bear). It matches the Rfam family "tRNA". Rfam says of the family: Transfer RNA (tRNA) molecules are approximately 80 nucleotides in length. The record is from Rfam by way of RNAcentral. Lineage: Eukaryota; Metazoa; Chordata; Mammalia; Carnivora; Ursidae. RNAcentral also lists the same sequence under 2 other names.